RNAcentral lists this ribosomal RNA (490 nucleotides) under uncultured bacterium. RNAcentral describes it as "partial 16S ribosomal RNA". It matches the Rfam family "Bacterial small subunit ribosomal RNA", at positions 28 to 507 of the family's 1533-position model. The record is from RNAcentral.
GAUGAACGCUAGCGAUAGGCUUAACACAUGCAAGUCGAGGGGCAGCAUGGUCUUAGCUUGCUAAGACUGAUGGCGACCGGCGCACGGGUGCGUAACGCGUAUGCAACUUGCCUCACAGAGGGGGAUAACCCGUCGAAAGACGGACUAAUACCGCGUACACUCCAUCUUGGGCAUCCAAGGUAGAGGAAAUGAAAUUCGCUGUGAGAUAGGCAUGCGUCCCAUUAGCUAGUUGGUGAGGUAACGGCUCACCAAGGCGACGAUGGGUAGGGGAACUGAGAGGUUGAACCCCCACACUGGUACUGAGACACGGACCAGACUACUACGGGAGGCAGCAGUGAGGAAUAUUGGUCAAUGGGCGAGAGCCUGAACCAGCCAAGUCGCGUGAAGGAUGACUGUCUUAUGGAUUGUAAACUUCUUUUAGACGGGAAUAACAAGAGUCACGUGUGACUCCCUGCAUGUACCGUAUGAAUAAGCAUCGGCUAACUCCGUA